GGCUUUGUAGCUUAGUUGGUUAAAGCGCCAGAAAGUAAGACGGAGAUCGAGAGUUCGAAUCUCUCCAAAGCCU
Acyrthosiphon pisum (pea aphid) is the source of this 73-nucleotide non-coding RNA. The record is from Rfam. Lineage: Eukaryota; Metazoa; Arthropoda; Insecta; Hemiptera; Aphididae.